GGUCGAAGUCUUCACUACAGAACACGACCUGAAAUGUAGGCUAGUUCAAUGCUAUAGAGCUGAGAUGGGCAACUGGUGAUCCGACCUCUAGGCCCACUGAUCAACCCCCCCAAUUGCAACAUGUGUAGAAUUGCAGCAGGACAACAACCCAGACACACAUCUGAAAGCACCCAGGAAUGGUUCGAGAAUAAACACUGGAGUGGCCAGCGAUGAGUCCAGAUCUGAAUCAUAAACCUGUGGCAAGAUCUGAAAACAGCAGUUAGUGGAUGACCCCACUCAACACUGAAGAACUGUAACAGUUUGCAGCUGAAGACUGGGCCAAAUUGGCAGUAGAAAGGUGCAGCAAGUUCAUCUUCGCCAAAGACUGUUUAAUCAGGUGGUGUCGUUUGCUCGUCUCCGUUGCCUGCUCUCACCCCUCUCUCCGCCUCUAGCCAAGCUGCCUCCAACCAACUGGUGAUCUCCAACCAAGCUGCCUCUAGCCAAGCUGCCUCCAACCAACUGGUGAUCUCCAACCAAGCUGCCUCUAGACAAGCUGCGUCCAACCAACUGGUGAUCUCCAAUCUCUCCCCAGCUACAGCUACAUCACGAAUAUAAUGACUUGUCCCCACCCCCUUUUCACUCUCGCUUCCCUGCUCUCCCUCUCCUCCCUUGGCCGACUAAAAAUAGCACCUCCAUCCCAUUCUGUGGCUGAGCAUAAUCAUGUGCAAAAUUGAUUUCAUGAAUGUACAGUGUAGGAGAAACAAGGAGUUGGGGAGAGGAAUAGAGAGAACAAGAGGAGGUUAGACAAGGGAGGAAGAGGAGGAAAGAGGCUGCAUUUAGAGAGGAGGAGAGACAUCACGAGGAGGAGAGAUAUCGUGAGGAGGAGAGAUAUUGUGAGGAGGAGAGGAGGAGAGAUAUCAUGAGGAGGAGAGAUAUCAUGAGGAGGAGAGGAGAGAUAUUGUGAGGAGGAUAGGUUAAUGGGCCCUGGCAUUCAACACAGGGCAGAGAUGCAAUAUGGCUCAGCCCUAUUCUACUGUUCUCCUACUCCAUGUAGGAACAACAUUACAGUCAUUUAGCAGAUGCUCUGAUCCAGAGCAACUACCAACUGAGCCACAGUUGUGAAAUGUUAUUAUUCCACAUAACUGUUUACAUGAAGUCAAAUCAGAAGAACACCUCCCUUAGCACCCAUAGUUGCCAUAGUUUCCUUAUGAUAAAGAUGUCAUAACAGAAACAUUAUUGAACAUCUACUGAACAUCUACUGAACAUCUAUUGAACAUCUACUGAACAUGUACCGAACCAUCUACUGAAUAUGUACUGAACCAUCUAUUGAUGAUCUACUGAACAUCUACUGAACAUCUACUAAAACAUCUACUAAAACAUCUACUGAACAUCUACUGAACAUCUACUGAACAUCUACUAAAACAUCUACUGAACAUCUACUGAACAUCUACUGAACAUCUACUAAAACAUCUACUGAACAUCUACUGAACAUCCACUAAAACAUCUACUAAAACAUCUACUGAACAUCUACUGAACAUCUACUGAACAUCUACUAAAACAUCUACUGAACAUCUACUGAACAUCUACUAAACAUCUACUAAAACAUCUACUGAACAUCUACUGAACAUCUACUAAAACAUCUACUAAAACAUCUACUGAACAUCUACUAAAACAUCUACUAAAACAUCUACUGAACAUCUACUGAACAUCUACUUGGGAAUAUCCAAGUAAAGGUUUACCAAACAUCCCUCAGGGAAUGAAACAGGGAAUGAAACAGGCAAAAUAAAUAUAGCAGUGAGACUCAUCAUAAACAUGAAUACAAUCAUUUUAGACUUGUAGACAGACAGCAUAGGGUUGAAGAUUAAGAUUAAAAUAACACCGGCUGGAUGUCAUGCUUUCCACAAACAAACACAACAAAAUUCCAUCAAAACUCUAUACAUAAUUAGAUACUAUCUGCCGCCAUUGUCGCAACCCCUAUUAUCAGCCUGUUCAACCUCUCUUUCAUAUCGUCUGAGAUCCCCAAGAAUUGGAAAGCUGCCGCAGUCAUCCCUCUCUUCAAAGGG
Long non-coding RNA from Oncorhynchus gorbuscha (pink salmon), 2042 nucleotides. RefSeq lists it as uncharacterized. NCBI's taxonomy places the organism in Eukaryota, Metazoa, Chordata, Actinopteri, Salmoniformes, Salmonidae. The record is from RefSeq and is a predicted model, not a curated record. The transcript is spliced from 3 exons.